RNAcentral lists this ribosomal RNA (1284 nucleotides) under Triticum aestivum (bread wheat). Its description in RNAcentral is "partial small subunit ribosomal RNA". The record is from RNAcentral. Lineage: Eukaryota; Viridiplantae; Streptophyta; Magnoliopsida; Poales; Poaceae.
AUGGGAGAAAACAGCAGCAUGAAACUCCAGUUGCUUGACGCUAUUACAAACAAUUUUGGAGAGGAGCAUAAAGUUGGCAGUGGCACGUAUGGGGAUGUUUACAAGGUGGUGCUUGAUAAUGGGGCCUAUAUUGCUCUGAAGAAGCUUCAUCAAUUACAAGGAUUUGAUGAUAACCAAUUUCAAAGUGAAUUCCGUAACCUUGUCAAGGUCUCUCACAAAAACAUUGUACGCAUAACUGGCUACUGCCUCGAUUGUCGGAGUAAAGGCCUGUUCGUCAAUCCACCGAUCCGAGAAAUACGAGAAUCUACGCAGCGUCUCUUUCUCCACUCCCUAUUUUCAACUGAAGCUCGGGCCGCUCCGGGAGCGGAGUCGUGCGGAGCGGCGAGACUCCGAACAGGCCUUAAAUACAUGGAGCACAAGGGGGAACUUGUUUUUGCUCAAAUAAUGGAGAGAGUUUUCCGCGUCGAGUAUAUGCAUGGCGGGAGCCUCGAUAAACAUAUUGCAGAUGAAUCUUGUGAACUUGAUUGGCCCAUAUGUUACAAAAUCAUUAAAGGGACGUGCGAAGGGUUAAAUCACCUUCACACCAAGCAGGAAAAGCCCAUUUUCCAUCUGGAUUUAAAGCCUUCUAACAUAUUGCUGGAUGAGAACAUGACGCCCAAAAUUUCAGAUCUUGGUUUGUCCAUACUUGUUUCUUCGACAAAAACACACAAAACAGAGAUACUCAAAGGCACACAAGGGUACAUGCCGCCAGAAUACAGAGAUGGUGGCUUGGUAUCCAACAAGUUUGACGUGUUCAGUUUGGGCAUCAUAAUUAUAAAAACAGUGGCUGGCAAUAUGGGCUACUUCCGCUAUUCUGAAAUGUCUCCCAAAGAUUUUAUUGAGUUUGUAAGUGAAAAUUGGAUGAAGAGGUGGCAGGCAAUGCCGGGUUACUAUUCAUCACACGAAAUAGACAUCCUAACAGUGAUUACAUGUAUUGAGACUGCUUUAAGAUGUGUGGAGACCGACCAAGAAAAGAGACCCUGCAUAGAGGAUAUUGUCCAUGAACUGGAUGAACUAGAUGCUGAGAUUAAGAGAAUAAGGUUACUAGCUCCUGAUCCUAUGCAGAUUCUCUUGAGUAAUCAAGGACCUGGCAUGGAUUUUCCAAAAAUUUCUAGGCUAUGUAUGGCCCAUAACUUGGCCCAAUAUAAGCGCAUCCUGGAUUUUAAAUUCAGUUUGAUUGAAGCAAUUACAAACGGGUUUUCAGAUGAUCAGAAAAUUGGGAGUGAUUGGUAUGGAGAUGUUUAA